GCUUGUCUCAAAGAUUAAGCCAUGCAUGUCUAAGUACAAGCCUCAGUAAGGUGAAACCGCGAAUGGCUCAUUAAAUCACACCUAAUCUACUGGAAAGUUACUAGUUACUUGGAUAACUGAGGUAAUUCUUGAGCUAAUACAUGCGAAAAAUCUCGACUCACGGAGAGAUGCUUUUAUUAGAUCAAAACCAAACGGCUUCGGCCGUCUCAUUGGUGACUCUGAAUAACUUUGGGCUGAUCGUAUGGCCUUGUGCUGGCGGUGCUUCAUUCAAAUAUCUGCCCUAUCAACUGUCGAUGGUAGGAUAGAGGCCUACCAUGGUUGCAACGGGUAACGGGGAAUAAGGGUUCGAUUCCGGAGAGGGAGCCUGAGAAACGGCUACCACAUCCAAGGAAGGCAGCAGG
RNAcentral lists this ribosomal RNA (401 nucleotides) under Crustacea environmental sample. Its description in RNAcentral is "partial small subunit ribosomal RNA". It matches the Rfam family "Eukaryotic small subunit ribosomal RNA", at positions 30 to 432 of the family's 1831-position model. Lineage: Eukaryota; Metazoa; Arthropoda. The record is from RNAcentral.